AGAGCGUUUCCGGGGCAGUGAUCUCCCUCCAGGUCAGGCUGGGGAUGUUGCGUGGGGCCAUCACGUCUGCAGCCUCCCCGGCAGGGGUGCGUACUCCCAGUCCGGAGUCUGCGCUCCAGUGUAGACGCAGCGUGACCUCCCUGUGCCACCGGUUGCCCCGCAUGGCUGGCUCUGUGGCCGACGCACGUGCUGCGGAGCCACCUAGCCGCCCCCAGGUCUCGCCUGACACGUGACACAGCUGAGAGCCAUAGUGUCCAGUGCCUGCAGGACCCAGCUGGUGGGCACCACCGCGCAUGCUCCGGGACGCCUGCCGGCGAGCGCCCCCUGGUGUCCGGGCGGUCCCAGCUCCGUGGCAGGUCCCUGGGCACCCGGAGUGGGAACCGCAGCCCAAACAUGGAGGCCGCAGGACUCCCGCGGUCUGUCCGAGGAGGCCAGGACUCCCAGGCGCAGUUCCUGACAGAGGAGCGACUUCCGGUCCCUCGGCGCGGGCUAUGGAUGAUGGUGGCCAUGGGUUUGGUGUAUAUGAAUUUUAUCUUUUCAAGACAUAUCUAACUCAGAGAUUACAGAGGGAAACACAGAAUCAUGAAUUCAGAGAAGCUCCCCAGAGGAAACCGUUCUAUGGAGAGGAAGCCACAACCCUCAGAGGAAACCAGCUCUUACCCUCCACCUGCACCUGCCCUGUGGUAUCUCUCCUCCUUGUGCCCUGUGCAUCCCCUGGAGGCCCCGUGCGCCCCCACAGGAGUUGUCCAACUCGUCUCCAUUUUCAAAUAUAAAGUAAACCCUGAUGCAGCAGGAAGACCCUCAACAGAUUCCCAUGCCUUGACCUUGGACUUCCCAGCCUCCGGAACUCUGAGAGAGAAACAAAGGACAGAGGUGAUGAGGAAUCCACCGCCUGAUAAGAACUCAUGUUGCAGAAAUGAAGAUGCAGCAUAUUCUGCUAUUCCACCAUAAGCCUUGCUUCUAUUAAGGCCAGCCCACUCCAGCCCCUUCCCUGGAGCCUGGCGGAUCCAGCUCAUCCAGUAGUCACUGAAGAUGAAACUGUACAAACAGAAACAGAAAGAAGCUGUGCUAUGUGUGCACGAGCAAGCACGUAUCUGGUGGGAAGUACCUGCAGUAUCUGGGACUGUGCACUCCAACACUAGAUCCUUCUCCGCUCCUGAACCAACUCCAGGAUCAAUGUGAACAAGCCUAAUAAGGCAGCACCUGUCACUAGCAUGUGGGUUAUUUAUGCAUGUUUUGUUUGGGCCUUGGUGUGAAGACCUUUGCACUGCAAUUCAGCAUCUUUAUAGCACACUCCCUGUGGAAUUACAUUGACAGUCACAUGCAUGGAAUUAGCCAGAGUACGAUAGUCAUCCUCUGCAACCAGGGACGCCAGUGCUGCCCAAAUGGUCCAUGAAUUAAGUGGUCAGAGCGGCAUGGCUGGAUGACACGCAUCACCCAACUUCAUGUACUUUCACCCGCUAAGGCAGACUGAGGUCCUCCCUGCCUAAUCUGAAGUCUGCAAGCAAAACAGACCACCAGUGACCUCAACAGGUCUCCAUAACUGAGUCCAGGAAUCACUUGAUGGCAAAUUCAUUAAGUCCUUUGACUCUGGAAGGUUCUGCAACUCAACCUGACUGGAUCUAGAACAUGCGUGUGUCUUCCACAACCCAAGGCCUCACUCAGGACCACUCGCUCUGUGAUUACUAUGCAUCCAAUUCAAUUAGUGGUGUCAACCUGACAUUUCCUGGGGCCAAGGGCUCCACCUCCCAGUAUAGACACUCAGCAUGGUAUUCUUCAGAAGGUGCUGGCCUGACUGAGAGGUUUACCUGUGUCAGCAAUUUUGUAUGCCACGUUACUGACCAUUACAUUAAGUGCAAUGGGGCUUCCCACAUGUACAUGCAUAGUUCCCUUUACUGUGUGGAGGAGUCACAAUGUAGCAGGUGGCAGAUUUUAUCCCAGUCUGUAGACAUUUCAUGGGAACAAAAAGGAGCAUGAAUAGGAAUAGCACCAGCCCCUCACUUUAUCUGGCAGCACUCCCAGUGGCCCAUCUGAGGAACACGUGGUGCUGCCCAACACAUUUAAGCUUCUCAUGCAAAAGAUUAGCAGGGCAGGAAAGAGUCUCCGUCUUUGCAAGGGCAAUGAUUAUAGUAUUAGGGUGUGGCUGUGUUUGCACAGUGAGUAAGUGAGGAAUAUACUUGGAUUCCAGUAAUUCCACCAGAGUAUUAUUUGGAAAUCCUAGGUUUUGACAAUACAUACCGAGAUGCAACUUAAAUGCAUAA
Non-coding RNA from Microcebus murinus (gray mouse lemur), 2261 nucleotides. The record is from RefSeq and is a predicted model, not a curated record. NCBI's taxonomy places the organism in Eukaryota, Metazoa, Chordata, Mammalia, Primates, Cheirogaleidae.